GAUGAACGCUGACAGAAUGCUUAACACAUGCAAGUCGAUGGGGAAGUGGUGCUUGCACCAUGGCAACCAUGGCGGACGGGUGAGUAACGCGUAAGGGACUUACCUGCAGGCCUGGGAUAACAGGGGGAAACUCCUGACAAGACCGGAUAAUGUCAUGGAGCUGCAUGGCUUUAUGAUGAAAGGAGACGCCUGCGGAGAGCCUUGCGUCCUAUUAGCUAGUUGGUGAGGUAAUGGCUCACCAAGGCGAAGAUAGGUAGCCGGCCUGAGAGGGUGGACGGCCACAAGGGGACUGAGAUACGGCCCUUACUCCUACGGGAGGCAGCAGUGGGGAAUAUUGGGCAAUGGGGGCAACCCUGAUCCAGCAAUUCUGUGUGCACGAAGAAGGUUUUCGGAUUGUAAAGUGCUUUCAGCAGGGAAGAAGUAAGUGACGGUACCUGCAGAAGAAGCGACGGCUAAAUACGUG
RNAcentral lists this ribosomal RNA (463 nucleotides) under uncultured bacterium. RNAcentral describes it as "partial 16S ribosomal RNA". It matches the Rfam family "Bacterial small subunit ribosomal RNA", at positions 28 to 507 of the family's 1533-position model. The record is from RNAcentral.